RNAcentral lists this small nucleolar RNA (131 nucleotides) under Gouania willdenowi (blunt-snouted clingfish). RNAcentral describes it as "Small nucleolar RNA SNORA44 (ENSGWIG00000010350.1)". It matches the Rfam family "Small nucleolar RNA SNORA44". From Rfam's summary of the family: ACA44 is a member of the H/ACA class of snoRNA that guide the sites of modification of uridines to pseudouridines. Lineage: Eukaryota; Metazoa; Chordata; Actinopteri; Blenniiformes; Gobiesocidae. The record is from Rfam by way of RNAcentral.
CAGCAUGCUAACCUAAGGACCUGAGCUUGUCCAUAGCGUGUGGUUCUCCAACAGCAUGCUAGAUGAUGGGGUGGUCUUUGACUGUUGUGGCCCCACCGUGCCAUCAGCAGCCACUCAACUGUCCAACAAAC